UACGUAGGGUGCGAGCGUUGUCCGGAAUUACUGGGCGUAAAGAGCUCGUAGGUGGUUUGUCGCGUUGUUCGUGAAAACUCACAACUCAAUUGUGGGCGUGCGGGCGAUACGGGCAGACUGGAGUACUGCAGGGGAGACUGGAAUUCCUGGUGUAGCGGUGGAAUGCGCAGAUAUCAGGAGGAACACCAGUGGCGAAGGCGGUUGCCUGGGGCUUUGCUGACGCUGAGGCGCGAAAGCGUGGGUAGCAAACAGG
This 253-nucleotide ribosomal RNA is filed under the name uncultured bacterium. RNAcentral's name for it is "partial 16S ribosomal RNA". It matches the Rfam family "Bacterial small subunit ribosomal RNA", at positions 524 to 776 of the family's 1533-position model. The record is from RNAcentral.